This 247-nucleotide long non-coding RNA is filed under the name Gallus gallus (chicken). RNAcentral describes it as "long non-coding RNA NONGGAT001357". Lineage: Eukaryota; Metazoa; Chordata; Aves; Galliformes; Phasianidae. The record is from RNAcentral.
GGCUGCAGCAGCCCAGCGCGAUGAGGCAUUCCUUGUUCUUGGCCCCUCCGCUCCGUCCCCGCGGUGCAAAGUUCCGGAUCACCAUUUUUUGCAUGUGCAUCGCUCGCAGCCGGACACAAACCGCUCCCCGGCGAUGGAGACUGCGGGAAAAGCCCGGCGCGGCGGGAUGGCUUGCUGAAACUGCGGCGGCUGCGGGGAGAGAGGCAGAGCGGCAGAGAAUAGGCAGCAAAUCCUAAAGCAACAGCAA